RNAcentral lists this ribosomal RNA (301 nucleotides) under uncultured bacterium. RNAcentral's name for it is "partial 16S ribosomal RNA". It matches the Rfam family "Bacterial small subunit ribosomal RNA", at positions 509 to 807 of the family's 1533-position model. The record is from RNAcentral.
CAGUCGCCGCGGGAAUACGAAGGGGGCUAGCGUUGUUCGGAUUUACUGGGCGUAAAGGGCGCGUAGGCGGACAGAUAAGUCAGGGGUGAAAUCCCAGGGCUCAACCUUGGAACUGCCUUUGAUACUGUUUGUCUUGAGUUCGAGAGAGGUAAGUGGAACUGCGAGUGUAGAGGUGAAAUUCGUAGAUAUUCGCAAGAACGCCAGUGGCGAAGGCGGCUUACUGGCUCGAAACUGACGCUGAGGCGCGAAAGCGUGGGGAGCAAACAGGAUUAGAUACCCGUGUAGUCCCUGUCUCUUAUAC